RNAcentral lists this long non-coding RNA (7920 nucleotides) under Sus scrofa (pig). RNAcentral describes it as "lncRNA (ENSSSCG00035025926.1)". The record is from RNAcentral. Lineage: Eukaryota; Metazoa; Chordata; Mammalia; Artiodactyla; Suidae.
GAACGGUGAGUCAGCUCCUUCCCAGUCAGGACAACUUCUCCUUGUCGUCCAGAUUUUGGCUCAGCUGUCCAGACUUCAAGGAAGCUCUCCUGUCCCCCAGCUCAGUCACACCCGCAUCAGUUAGUAAGUACUGAGCGCCUGCCAGGUGCCAACCUCUGCUCUAAAUGUUUUAUAAAUAUUAACUUUAAGUCCCCCUAAAACUAGGAAGCAGGCCUAUUAUUAUUCCUCCUUUUUUGAUAUGGGAAACUGAAGACAUGGAGAGGAGGUAAGUUGCCUGAGGUCACGAAGCCAAGGGGUGCCUGGUUGGAGCAUCCCCGUCCCUAUCUGGGUUCACUGCCUCCCACCUGCUCCCACAAGACACUUGGACCAGCCACCAGGGGUGGCUCCAGGCUCAGAGGAAGCUCUUGUUAAACAGCUGCAUGAAUGGUGUCAGCUCUUAUUUUUAGAUGACACAUCCCAAGUACCUUAUAACUACAUAGUGGCUAUGCACAUGUUUGUGCAUAUAUACAUGUGUAGGUAUGUGUCUACAUAUUUGUUAUGUUGCAAGGGUAAUUUUUUUUUUUUUUUGUCACUUGGAAGCUGAAUCUAUAAAACUGGCCAUGAGGUGAGAGCUCUGCUACUAACUCUGUUCUAUCUGAUUCAUCCCCAGCCUCUGCAGGGAGGGUACAAGGACAAUUAACGCAUCUACAGUAUCUGUCACCUUCUGUCUCUUCUUGUUUCUCUUAUCACCUCAGUCCCUUCCUCUUGAAACUUCAGGAACACCUUGGUCUUUCUACCUUGCUGUUCUGUGCAGGCCCAUUAGCCAAAUUCUAUAAUGACCCCUGUUGUCACCACCCUGCAGUUCCUGUACCUGGAGGCUGAGGGCCAUGCUGGAGCCAGUGCAGGCUGGGCACCAGGAGGAAUCUGGGUUUAAGCAUCAUCUGUCACUGAGUCACCAAGUGGCCCCACAUAAGCCCUCAAAUCUCUGAAGUCUAAGCUUCUACGAGUGUAAAUGAUCAUCAUGUCUCCCUGGCAGAAAUGCUGGGAGACAGUGAAAGGACAUGCCAGCACCAUGCCUGGCACCCUGGGAGCUUCCGGUGAAUGAACCAGAUGUGCCAUUAUCACCUUGGCUGAUAUCACUGCCUCCUCCCACGCACCAGGCCCCAGGGCUGUGGUCCCCAGGAGCAGGAUUCCUUAGGUUUGGUGGGCAUGACUGGCUGACCAGUGGUCUUAUCCAUUGAGAUUAGGGAGGCGGCAGUCGUUAAAACUAACAAUUAAGAUUUAAAUAAUAAUUAACAUUUGCAUAUAGCACAUUUGCUAAAUAAUUCCAGGUCUGUUCCAUGAAACAUCCUAUUUUAAUUGUUACAAAAAGCCUAUAAGGCAGAGACCAUCAUUGUCCAUGUUUCAGUUGGUAAACUGGAGUUCCAGGCAACGUGGCCAAAGAGCGGAAUGGUAUGUGGAAAGACAGGCAUCAAGCCAGACAAAUGGUAACAUAUCCAGGGCCCGUGUCCUUCACUGCAACACCUGCUGCCCUAAAUGACCCAAGUGCACCACCCAGGGAGGACCAGCAGCCUCUGAAGCCCAGAGUGGAACCGUAGCUUUAUACUCAUUAGUCCCUGUAAGAGUAAUUCUCUAAGGAUACUCAGGUCUUCUAGAACCACAUUUCCCUGUCGCAUAGGUCUGAAUUCAUGAAAUUCCCCCAGUCCAACCUGGAACUUGACUUCCUCGCUAAUGUGGGGUCAGGGUUACAAAGACUGUACAUGGAGUCCUGGCUCCUCUGUCCCGUGGCUAUGUGACACCUGUCACCUUGCUCUUCCUGCCAUCACACACAAGCCUAACCAGCACUGCUGAAGUGGUGACAAUGCCUUGUUCCUGAUGGGCCUGCACACAAUGUGAGGGACGGCACAGGGCUGGAUGAGGUGCCGUGAGGGAGGCAGGGAUGAUCAGGGCACAGAGCCUGCUCUUGGGGAGAACUGCAGCACCCCUGGGGAGUUAAAAAAAGAUCCACGUCCUUUAAAAAUCCUACAGAGCUCAAUGUGAGCUGCCGAUGAAGGAGAACGUAGUUGAGGGGGUACACAGCUGCCACCACAUGCAACUGAUUUCCAGGUCUGACUCUUGGGUUGGGGUGCCCACUGAUGGGGUGACAUCCCAGUGGCAGUGGCAAGUCACCCCAACAUUUGUGUUGACUUAGGAGAAGGGGAAGCGGGUGGCUUUGCUAUCUGAUGAAGGGGACACCAGAGCUCGAACAAGCAGAAGACCUGUAAAAACAGUGCUAAUAACUCCAGGAAUCCAUGUGGUUCUUGGCAGAAAGAUCCUCAGGCCUAGAGUAUGGUUUCUAUAAAUCUGUACUGGCUUUUAAAAAUUUUAAAUUAUUUUCUAUUCUUUUCUAGAUUUAUUGAGAUAUAAUUGAUAUCCCCAGCUUUGGUUUUAAAACUACAUUUUAAAAGAUUUCAGAAGUGAAAGUUGAGAGAGAUUUCAAAGAAAUAUAUCCCCCCCCCACCAAAAGAGGUAAGAGUAGAGGAGGGACAGGGAAGGCAAACACAGAGUACCUCCUGAUAAUGAAAUUCCCAGUAAGCAUAAGACCUGACAGGAUGAAAGGAAAGGCACGUCCGCUGUGAAGUGUCCACUUCCUUAAUGCAUUUUCCUCAAAUUCUCAUUUUAUGCAGACAGUGAAAUAAAGAACACAAGGAGAACAACCCCUUGCUUGGCUCCCCCCAAAGCUGUACACAAGUAGGCCUUUCUUUCUGCUCCUUACAAAAAACCAUAGUUUAACAAUGGCAGGAUGCAUUUUCCCCUUGCUUUUGCUGAAUUAAGACGACCAAAUUGCAGUUCGGCGUGUGCCAAACUUGGAUUUUUUCAAAGCGUCAUUUGAGUUUUAAAAGCUACAUAAGUGAUGGGAACAUAAUCGUCUAGGGAAUCCACAAAUAACUCUUUAAAAAGUCAUAAAUCUGGAUUUCAUGCCUCAUAGUUUUCAACAACUGCAAGAAAUAGGUCAAAGCUCUAACAUGGUGGGUUCCCCCCGCCCCCGUGUCUAAGGGUUGCCUGCCUCGGGCCUUCUCCACACGCUUUAGUGGGAACCACGUCAGCUUUUGAAUUGUACACGGUUCUGAAUUGCUUUUCGUUGCUUCUAAUGCUCAUUUUUUCCCUCAAAAAUCGUGAUAAAAUACACAUGGAAAUAACUUCCUGGUUUUAUAGAACUUUUAAAUCCGAUCCUUUAAAAAUCAUCAGGUCGUUGGCAAAAAAAUUGUGAACUUAUAAAAACACUAGAGCAAGUCCGUAGUGUAAUUUAAAGUUGGGGGUUCUGCGCAAAAUUUUGGAAAGGGCUGAAAAAGCCAACCACGGGGGUCCAUAGGUCUUGAUUUUCCAGAAUAGACUUACUCUGGCUAUGAGGGCCUCCCCCUGCCCCCACUUGGCAAAGAGGUCAGAACACCUCGGGGGUGAAGGCCUUGGCCUUAGGAAGUUUUAAAGCUCCCAGGGUGAUGCUGGUGGGCUGCCGUGCUGAGAAAGGAUUAUAACCCUGGGUCUUAAACUGGACUGCAUCCUUCCCACUUGGGGAAUUUUAAAAAUACCAGCCAGCUUUACAGAUAAGUAGAGUCUAUGCAACUCACCGAAGGUGGAAGGUGCUUCCAUGCCCGACCCCCACCUCAGACCUGCUUGCCUGUAUCUCUAACAUCAGUUACAUCUUAUAAUGCAAACGUCCCUGGGGGAGAGCAUGCUCUGGCUCAAGUUCAUGGAAACCCAUAAACAACAGUCUCAUUUUCUGGCAAUGUGUAUGUGCUUAAUUUAUUCUUUCGUGAUUGACUUUUAAAAGGGACCACUGAGAUAUCAUUUACCAACAAUAAAAUGUUCCUAGGAGAUCCCGCUGUGGCCCAACAGGAUCAGCAUCAUCUUGGGAGCUCUGGGAUGUGGGUUUGAUCCCUGGCCAGGCCCAAUGAGUUAAGGAUCCCACAUUGCCACAUCUGCUGCUUAGGUUGCAACUGUGGCUCAGAUCUGAUCCUUGACCGGAAACUCCUUAUGCCACAGGGCAGCCAAAAAAGAAGAAUAAGAAAAAAGAAAAUGUUCCUGUUUUAAAUGCACAAGGUUUGAUAAUUUUGACAAACAUGAUAUGCUCCCAGGCAGCCACACCUUGAUCAGAUCAGGAUCAGCAUGUUUCCAUCAUCCCUCAAAGUGCCCUUGUGUCCCUUCUCGUUCAGUGCUGCCUUCACACCCCUCGCCCGCCAUGGACCAGUGGGCUAGUGUAGCCUGUCCCUAAAGUUCACAUCAAAGGAAGGACAGGGCAGACAUGCUGUGUCUGCGGUUCAGCUAUGCUGCUGUGUACAGGCAGUUUGUUCUUUUUUAUGGCCGUAUUUAUUGUUGCCCUAUUGGAUGAGCAUCCCAAGUUUCAUCUGCUCACCUGCUGAUGGACAUUUGGGUUUUUCCAGCUGUUAGAUAUUCUGAAUAAGGCUGCAAUCUUUUUGUUGAUGGAUACUUUCCUCUCUCUCGGGUAAAUACCUAGAAGUGGAAUUCCUAGGUCAUCUGGUAAAUAUACAUUGAACUUUAGUAGGAAGUGGCCAAUUCUCUAUGUGUUUGUGUCGUUUUAUACUCCUAUUGGCAGAGUAUGAGUUCUAGUUGCUCUUUACCUUUGCCAUAACUUGGCAUUUUAAUUUUGGUGUUAAUUUGGCCACAGAAGCUGAGUAUAGCCAUAGCUCACUGUGGUUUUAAUCUGCAUUUCCCAGAUGACUAAUAAUGUUCAGCAUCUUUUCAUGUGCUUCUCUGUCAUCAACAUAACUUCUUGUGUGAGGUUCUGUUCUUACAUCCUGUCCAUUUUUAAGGAACUUGGAUAGGGUUUAAGAAUUCUUUAUAUAUCCUGCAUAUAAGUUCCUUUUCACAUACAUGGAAUAUGGAUAUUUCUUCCCUGUCUGGGGUUUGCCUUUUCAUUGUCUUAAGGGUGUCUUCAAAGAACAGAACUUCAUGAAGUUCAACUUAUCAAUUUUCCUUUUAUGUUUGGUGCUUGUUGCUUGGGUUCGUGUCCUAAGAAAAUCUGCCCACCCCAAAGGUCAUGAAGGUUUUCUCCCACAAGUGUUUUUAACCAGUAUUUCUGGACAAAGUAUAAGCGGUGGAAAGCUCACUAGAGACCAGGCACAGAAUGGGGAAGAGGAGGGAAAAUGAAGAAGGAAACGGCUGAGAAAAUUGAAGAUAACAGAGCUGGCCCUCUUGAUAAGUGUACAUAUUAAUGGGAUCAGGAAAAUAAGCCCAGUGCUAUAAACCCCAAGACCUCACAGAAUCAGAUGUAUCCUAAAGGAGAGGCAGACAAUAGGCACUUAUCACUUUCUGAUUUGUCAUCCUUUUUAUUUUUAUUUAUUUAUUUAUUUAUUUUGUCUUUUUGCCAUUUCUUGGGCUGCUCCCACAGCAUAUGGAGGUUCCCAGGCUAGGGGUUUAAUCCGAGCUGUAGCCACCGGUCUAUGCCAGAGCCACAGCAAUGUGGGAUCCGAGCCAUGUCUGCAACCUACACCACAGCUCACGGCAGCGUUGGAUCCUUAACCCACUGAGCAAGGCCAGGGAUCGAACCUGCAACCUCAUGGUUCCUAGUCAGAUUCGUUAAGCACUGAGCCAUGACAGGAACUCCAGAUUUUUCAUCCUUUUUAAAAAAGAGCAAUUGGAUUCAUUCCCAGGGAGGCUGGAAGAACUCAGGCUGCAGACUAAUGCUUGGGGCUCAUAACACUCACCACACACACACAAAUAUACAUGCAUGAAAUCUAUCAUUUCUACUUCAAAACCGUACUUGCUGGGCCUUAUUUAGUUUAUGGCAGCUCUUAAAAUAAUCCAAAUGGAAUAAAAUGCAAAAGCACAAACAAGUAUCCUUCAGAGAGUGGUAGAGGUCAGGCCCAGGGGCAGGGUUUAAAAGAGUAAAAUAUGCAGAGUUGGGCCAAGAGGUGACUAAGAGGGAAGGAGAUAAGAUCUGUCUACAAAUACCUGCAGGCUGUAAACAACAGGAGAGUGACAAACCAAACUAGCCCACAACAAAGGCUGACCAGGAAUUUGCUGCAUUCAGGAAAGGAAGUGGACAGGCAAGGAAGCCUUCCCACUGGCCUGCUGGCUGUGCUGGGCUUCCCUCCUCCUGCUCUGCCGGGUGCCCUGCCCGGCCCUGCAGGCUGCCUUGCCUCCCUGGGCUGGCCACUGUCUGGAUCAGGGUUUUCGGACAAGACACGACACAGGGCUGGCAGGCCACCUCUGGUGGGGGCUCUAGAUCUCACUUCAUCUGCCUUUACAUCACUGCUCAGAAAUCCUCACAAAACUGGGAAACCAUGCCCCUCUCUGGCCCCAAAUGCUGCAGAUAAAAGCAUGACCUUGGUUUGGUUUUAAGGCCUCUACCAUGUGGUCCCGUCCAUUCUUCCCAGCAAGCACCUCUCCUGCAUCUUUGUUCUCAAGGAAACUGGCCUCCCAGACCUUGACCUGUCUGGCACCUACUGCCUUGCCAUCUCCUUCCAAUUAGAUUUAGUUCUAAUCCAGAUAUUAGGUGUUAGCAGUGUCUUCAGUAGAUGAUGCAGGGAUUAAAAAAAAAAAAAAAAAAAAAAAGGAAAAGGAAAGGAGACUUUGCCUUCAAGAAGCUUAUAAUCUAGCGGAAGAGACAUAUAGAAACAAUUACUUUUUUUUUUAAUUUUUAAUUUUUUGGCCGAAUCUGCAGCAUGUGGAAGUUCCCAGCCAGGGACUGAACCUGAGCUGCAGCUUUGACCUAUGUCAUGGCAAUGCUGGAUCCUUAACCCACUGUGCCACAGUGGGAACUCCCAUAAACAAUGAAUUAAACUAAGUUAUAUGAAUUAUCUUUUUACACUAUAGUAUUUAUACAGGUGAUAUGAAAACAAUAUUGUAGAACCAUAACAGAGGAUAAAACUUAAUUUUUCCUGGAAGGUCUGGGGAGUGCUUUCCAGAAAAGCUUGUGCCCAGGAUGAUUAGGAAAAAGAUGUGUGUGUGUGUGUGCGCGCCUGUGUACACGCUGGGUAAUGGGGAGGUAGGGUGAAUUGGGGAUCACAAUGAUGAGGCCUGUCAGAGGAGACACUGACAUGACAGCUUGGGGCAGGCUCGGUACGUAGUCCCGUGUAAACAGCUGGCAUUAGGGGCAGGAAGGCAACGGAGCUGGUAGGCAGGUAGGUUGACAAAAAGUUGGGGGGAAGGUCUUGAAUGCCUUGUUACAGGCUCUGAACUUGAUCUUGCAAGCAAAAGGAAGUCACCAGAAAUUUAACAGCAGAUUGCAACAUGAUGAGAUCUGUGUUUUCCAAAGACACACUUAUAAGGAGAAUUGAAAACAGUGACAGGGGAAGUGGAGAGAAGAAACAUCUGGAAAACACAGCUGAUGCGCACUACGGAUGACAGUGGUGAGGGCUAAAAUGAUUUAGGGAUUGCACUGCCUGCGGCUGCAAGGCUGGCGAAGCUUCUAGGAGCCUACGUCAGAAGUUCAGAUGAAGCUCUACUCCCUCCUUCCUAGGGGCCUCAAACCCACAUUUCCUCCUUCUUACUUCUCAACGGCCAUUUUACCUGUGUCUGCAUGGGCGUGCUCAGCAUUUAUCAACUGAACUCCCUGCUUUUUUCUCAUGUUAAGAUUUGCUCACCAAACUGUGUUACCAGGCAUCAUGUUACACUUUUUCCAGGAGAUGUUUUGAUUCAGCCAAGGUGGAGAUGAAGUCUUAUCAACCCCACCACCUCUAAUUGGGGUUAUCUGUAGCUGUAAAAGCCAUCAUAGGGUGGGGGCGGGGGCUUCCAGUCCUUCCUGCACUGCCUCAUAGCAUUUCUUGAACCAUCUUGUGUAUCUCUUACAUUGUUUAUCAAUCCAAACAAUGUUAAAAAAAAUUCUGUAUUUAUACAAACUCACAGAAGUUCAUUUCUUUCAUUUCACAGUAAUAUUGUUUCAUUCAGUGUUAUUUAGUCAAUGAAAAAAAAACACUAAAUAAAAUCUUUCAACAAAGA